Molecule: ribosomal RNA, 494 nt
Filed under: uncultured Bacteroidota bacterium
Lineage: Bacteria; Pseudomonadati; Bacteroidota
Description: bacterial SSU rRNA
Rfam family: Bacterial small subunit ribosomal RNA
Source: RNAcentral
GAUGAGCAUGCGUCCCAUUAGCUUGUUGGUAAGGUAACGGCUUACCAAGGCAACGAUGGGUAGGGGUCCUGAGAGGGAGAUCCCCCACACUGGUACUGAGACACGGACCAGACUCCUACGGGAGGCAGCAGUGAGGAAUAUUGGUCAAUGGGCGCAAGCCUGAACCAGCCAUGCCGCGUGCAGGAUGACGGUCCUAUGGAUUGUAAACUGCUUUUGUACAGGAAGAAACAGUUCUACGUGUAGAACCUUGACGGUACUGUAAGAAUAAGGAUCGGCUAACUCCGUGCCAGCAGCCGCGGUAAUACGGAGGAUCCAAGCGUUAUCCGGAAUCAUUGGGUUUAAAGGGUCCGUAGGCGGUUUUGUAAGUCAGUGGUGAAAGCCCAUCGCUCAACGGUGGAACGGCCAUUGAUACUGCAAGACUUGAAUUAUUGGGAAGUAACUAGAAUAUGUAGUGUAGCGGUGAAAUGCUUAGAGAUUACAUGGAAUACCAAUUG